Molecule: long non-coding RNA, 754 nt
Filed under: Ananas comosus (pineapple)
Lineage: Eukaryota; Viridiplantae; Streptophyta; Magnoliopsida; Poales; Bromeliaceae
Description: long non-coding RNA (ACOM_LNC010502)
Source: RNAcentral
AAUUUGAGGCGACUUGAUAAAUGAGGAGAAUAUAUUAAAAUUUCAUAAAUUUUGGUUUGUGGUAAUAUCAAAUAUUCUAAAAUAUGUCUAACGAUUCCGAUCGUCAAAUCAAAUUUCUUAAAAUCGAUUUUUAGAAGAAAAAGGUCUAACUCAAAUGUGAGGCCGGGUAUCACAUCGCCUGACGAUCUUAAACAGUGUAUGCGAUUGGGCUGAUUAGAAUGUCAUACCGUAAAUAGAUGGAGUCUGUGACACUCUAAUAAUGCCACAUAUAUAAGAUAGGAACGGAAUUAUGAUUAAAUAUAUAAAUGACUAUGGACCCUAAUAAUAAUAAUAAUAAUAAUAACUGUAUUUAAGAAUUUGUGCUGGUGAUUUAGACUUAAUAGUUAUUAUUAUUAACGAGCCAGUUGGCUAAAUUUCAAGAAAAUGUGUGAGCAAUGUUUGGAUUGGGGAUAAGGGGAGGGAAUACUCCUUAUCCCCCUUUAUACCCAAACAUAAAUUUUUUAUCCGAAAAUAGUAGUUCUCUAUUAUCUAAAAUAAUCUGGUAUAACUAUUCCACCAACACCUCCAUUUUCUAUAUAUAACUAUCUAUUAUUUUUCUUAUUCCAUAUUAUCUAUCCAAACGCUAUUUUUUUUAUUCCCGGAAACAAUUCAAUUUUCAUCCAAAAGCUAUUUUUCUUAUUCUUAUAUUUGUAUCUAUCCCGCCAAUUUUUGCUUAUACCCAAACCAAACGCUACCCUAGCAUAGUGUGCACCCC